This 490-nucleotide ribosomal RNA is filed under the name uncultured bacterium. RNAcentral's name for it is "partial 16S ribosomal RNA". It matches the Rfam family "Bacterial small subunit ribosomal RNA", at positions 30 to 507 of the family's 1533-position model. The record is from RNAcentral.
AUUGAACGCUGGCGGCAGGCCUAACACAUGCAAGUCGAACGGUAACAGGAAACAGCUUGCUGUUUCGCUGACGAGUGGCGGACGGGUGAGUAAUGUCUGGGAAACUGCCUGAUGGAGGGGGAUAACUACUGGAAACGGUAGCUAAUACCGCAUAACGUCGCAAGACCAAAGAGGGGGACCUUCGGGCCUCUUGCCAUCAGAUGUGCCCAGAUGGGAUUAGCUAGUAGGUGGGGUAACGGCUCGCCUAGGCGACGAUCCCUAGCUGGUCUGAGAGGAUGACCAGCCACACUGGAACUGAGACACGGUCCAGACUCCUACGGGAGGCAGCAGUGGGGAAUAUUGCACAAUGGGCGCAAGCCUGAUGCAGCCAUGCCGCGUGUAUGAAGAAGGCCUUCGGGUUGUAAAGUACUUUCAGCGGGGAGGAAGGGAGUAAAGUUAAUACCUUUGCUCAUUGACGUUACCCGCAGAAGAAGCACCGGCUAACUCCGUG